RNAcentral lists this unclassified non-coding RNA (242 nucleotides) under Hevea brasiliensis (rubber tree). The record is from RNAcentral. Lineage: Eukaryota; Viridiplantae; Streptophyta; Magnoliopsida; Malpighiales; Euphorbiaceae.
AAGACCCAUGAGAGCAUCAACAACAGGCUUGCUCUGGUGAUGAAGAGUGGAAGGUUCACUCUCGGCUACAAAACCGUGCUUCGCUCUCUCAGAAGUUCUAAAGGAAAACUCAUUAUAAUUUCAAACAAUUGCCCACCGCUUAGAAAAUCCGAGAUUGAGUAUUAUGCCAUGCUUGCAAAGGUUGGCGUCCACCAUUACAAUGGAAACAAUAUUGACUUGGGAACUGCUUGUGGCAAGUAUUU